RNAcentral lists this transfer RNA (68 nucleotides) under Ictidomys tridecemlineatus (thirteen-lined ground squirrel). Its description in RNAcentral is "Spermophilus tridecemlineatus (thirteen-lined ground squirrel) tRNA". It matches the Rfam family "tRNA". Rfam says of the family: Transfer RNA (tRNA) molecules are approximately 80 nucleotides in length. Their secondary structure includes four short double-helical elements and three loops (D, anti-codon, and T loops). Lineage: Eukaryota; Metazoa; Chordata; Mammalia; Rodentia; Sciuridae. The record is from Rfam by way of RNAcentral.
GGUCGUGGCUCAAGGUUUAGAGCGCUCGCCUGGCAGGCGUGAGGCCCUGGGUUCGAUCCUCUGCACCA